RNAcentral lists this ribosomal RNA (320 nucleotides) under Clostridioides difficile. Its description in RNAcentral is "partial 23S ribosomal RNA". It matches the Rfam family "Bacterial large subunit ribosomal RNA", at positions 2540 to 2862 of the family's 2925-position model. Lineage: Bacteria; Bacillati; Bacillota; Clostridia; Peptostreptococcales; Peptostreptococcaceae. The record is from RNAcentral.
UCACAUCCUGGGGCUGUAGUAGGUCCCAAGGGUUGGGCUGUUCGCCCAUUAAAGUGGUACGCGAGCUGGGUUCAGAACGUCGUGAGACAGUUCGGUCCCUAUCCGUCGCAGGCGUAGGAAAUUUGAGAAGACCUGUCCUUAGUACGAGAGGACCGGGAUGGACGUACCUCUGGUGUACCAGUUGUUCUGCCAAGGGCAUGGCUGGGUAGCUAUGUACGGAAUGGAUAAGCGCUGAAAGCAUCUAAGCGCGAAGCCAACUUCAAGAUAAGAUUUCCCACCGCAAGGGUAAGACCCCAGAAAGACUAUCUGGUUGAUAGGUC